GACGAACGCUGGCGGCGUGCUUAACACAUGCAAGUCGAACGGUGAACCUCUUCGGAGGGGAUCAGUGGCGAACGGGUGAGUAACACGUGGGCAACCUGCCCCCGGCUCUGGGAUAACUCCAAGAAAUUGGGGCUAAUACCGGAUGUUCACCGCUUCCCGCAUGGGUGGUGGUGGAAAGGGUUUCCGGCUGGGGAUGGGCCCGCGGCCUAUCAGCUUGUUGGUGGGGUAGUGGCCUACCAAGGCGACGACGGGUAGCCGGCCUGAGAGGGUGACCGGCCACCCUGGGACUGAGAAACGGCCCAGACUCCUACGGGAGGCAGCAGUGGGGAAUAUUGCGCAAUGGGCGGAAGCCUGACGCAGCGACGCCGCGUGGGGGAUGACGGCCUUCGGGUUGUAAACCUCUUUCAGCGGGGACGAAGCGCAAGUGACGGUACCUGCAGAAGAAGCACCGGCCAACUACGUG
RNAcentral lists this ribosomal RNA (463 nucleotides) under uncultured bacterium. RNAcentral describes it as "partial 16S ribosomal RNA". It matches the Rfam family "Bacterial small subunit ribosomal RNA", at positions 28 to 507 of the family's 1533-position model. The record is from RNAcentral.